UGGCUCAGUUCAGCAGGACAGG
RNAcentral lists this microRNA (22 nucleotides) under Xenopus laevis (African clawed frog). Its description in RNAcentral is "Xla-Mir-24-P3c_3p (mature (guide))". Lineage: Eukaryota; Metazoa; Chordata; Amphibia; Anura; Pipidae. The record is from RNAcentral.